CAGCUACUCAGGAGGCUGAGGCAGGAGAAUCGCUUGAACCCGGGAGGCGGAGGUUGCGGUGAGCCGAGAUUGUGCCACUGCACUCCAGCCUAGGUAACAGAGCAGGACUCCAUCUCAGUCAAUCAAUCAAUCAAUCAAUCUCAGCGGUUGAACUACCCUUGACAUGGUUCAGCUCUGUAUCCACACCCAAAUCUCAUGUCAAAUUGUAAUUCCCAGUGUUGUGGGAGGGACCUGGUGGGAGGUGAUUGGCUCAUGGGGGCCGACUUCCCCCUUGCUGUUCUCGUGAUAUUGAGUGAGCGCUUGUGGGAUCUGGUUGUUUAAAAGCUUGCAGCCCUCCCACUUCACUCUCUCUGUCUCUCCUGCUCCAACAUGGCCAGACGUGCCUGCUUCCCCUUCGCCUUCUGCCGUGAUUGUCAGUUUCCUGAGGCCUCCCCAGCCACGCUUUCUGUACAGCCUGCAGAACUGCCCCACUCACCUCCUCCAACUCCUCUGGGGAAACCCAAGCCCUGCAGCUCAUGGAACAGAAGAAGUGGAACCGACGUUUCUGGAACAGGACUAUCUGAGAGCGGUUCUUCCUGGCCCUCGGGUUCAUGCAACGGCGUAACUGGAACCGACGCUUACGGACCAAGGGAAGUGGAAGAUGUUUUGUUUGGAGUCCUCGUCGUCCUCCUCCAUGUCAUUGGCCAGGUAGCUGAGGACAGGAAUCAGGUUGCUGCUCAGGGGCACCACCAGGAGAGACCUCCGGCUGAGGUCAGCUUCCCAGAGAGGAAGCUGCCCCAGAGCACAUCAGCUAUGUGCCCCAGCUCUCAAACGACACCCUGGCGGGGAGGCUCACCCUGUCCACCUUCACGCUGGAGCAGCCUCUAGGCCAGUUCAGCAGCCACAACAUCUCUGACUUGGAUACCAUCUGGCUGGUGGUGGCCCUCAGCAACGCCACCCAGAGCUUCACGGCCCCACGGACAAACCAGGACAUCCCUGCUCCUGCCAACUUCUCCCAGAGGGGCUACUAUCUCACACUGAGGGCCAACCGGGUGCUGUACCAGGCCAGAGGCCAGCUCCAUGUCCUCCGUGUUGGCAAUGAUACCCACUGCCAACCAACAAAAAUUGGCUGCAACCAUCCCCUACCAGGACCGAGCCCCUACAGGGUGAAGUUCCUGGUGAUGAAUGACAAAGGACCCGUGGCUGAAACAAAGUGGUCCAGCAACACUCGCCUGCAGCAAGCCCAGGCACUUCGGGCUGUCCCUGGCCCCCAGAGCCCGGGCACCGUGGUCAUCAUCGCCAUCCUGUCUAUCCUCCUGGCCGUCGUCCUCACGGUCCUCCUGGCUGUGCU
Molecule: long non-coding RNA, 1330 nt
Organism: Homo sapiens (human)
Lineage: Eukaryota; Metazoa; Chordata; Mammalia; Primates; Hominidae
Gene: POLR2J4
Product: RNA polymerase II subunit J4 (pseudogene)
Source: Ensembl